Molecule: long non-coding RNA, 8858 nt
Filed under: Ananas comosus (pineapple)
Lineage: Eukaryota; Viridiplantae; Streptophyta; Magnoliopsida; Poales; Bromeliaceae
Description: long non-coding RNA (ACOM_LNC007276)
Source: RNAcentral
UAUUUCCGACGCGUUGGUGCGCUCGGAAUAGCAUUUCGAAAAGUGUAUGUAAAGUUAUGGCCAAAUAAGCCUAAUUAGGCUUCUUUAUGCCGCAGGUAAAGAAAGAAACGUCUGAAAAUCCCCGAGAAAAUCGUCGGAGCACCUAAAGAGACCUACAAGGUGGUGUGCUUCUCAACUUAUUGAACUUCCCUCUAUGCCUAAUGUGUCAUUCUUUGAGCAUAUGUUCUAUAUAUUGUUGCACAUGCAUUUAGGUAAAGUAAUGAUGAAAUGUGAUGAUUGCAUGAUUGUGAGUACAACUGCAUAAUGAGAUGGUUUGAGAACCUGAUAAUGUAAAAACCUAUGUGUAUGCAUGAGAGAAAAGUGAGCACCCAAAGUGAGCAAAAGAACCGAGUGGCACAAUGACAUAGAUCGAGUGGCAUUCGAUAAAGCUAAUGUGAAAUGACACUAGAGUUAGUGUGAUGUAAAGAACUAAAGUGAUGUAAAAUGAGAAAGUGACAACGUGUAAAGUCAAAGUAAAAUGGGGCAAUAAGAACAAGAAUUGUAACGAACAGAAAUGCUAGAGUUAGCAAGAGAAAUGAAAAUGUAAAGAAUGUGAUUGCAUGAGUUUGCAACAUAAAGUGAUGUAAAGAACACUAGAGCUAGUGUAAAGUCAAGAUUGAACUUAUAAAUCCUUUGAGUUAAGGAUAUGAUCAUACUUGCUAUGAGUUCCGUGCUCGAGCGGUCGCUUCCCCUGGCGAUGGCGCUCCGGAGUUAUGCAUCCGGGUUGGAGUAAACCGUAAGGACGGUCCUAGCUGGUGAGUUCCUGCGAUGAUGGACUUAAUGUGAAGCAAGUUAAUGUGGAGAACCCCCGGGUUACCUUAAUGAUUAAAAGCAAAGAGUAAAGAACAAAGAGCCAAGAACAAAGUGUAAAGUGCAAAGAACUAAAGAACAUGCAUAACCUGCAUUUAGUAAUGUUGGGCAUAAUUCUUGCUAUUUUUCAGGCAUAUUAGCAUUAUGUAUAGUUUGGUUACUAUUUACAGCCUAUUUCUUCUAUUAUGCUGAGUUAGUCCUAGUAGGAAAGUCGGUGAUAGUUGAGGCCGAACCCACUGGGAGCUUUGUUGUAGUUCUCACCCCACUAUUUCCACAGAGCCGGGACCGAGCGAGCCGGCGAGCGACCGAGGUAAAGGUAUCGCGCCUUAGUCAGAGGCCACCAAAGUUGGGUUACAUUUUGUUAGUAGCUACCCCCAUGUUCAUCUUUUUGUACUUGAUGAUUAGUAAUGUAAAGAAAGAAUGUAAGCUUAUUUUGAGGUAAAUGUGAUGUAAGAAAGAAAUGAUGAAAUGAUAUAAUGAACGUAAGAAUCGAUAAAUUACUAGAUGAAUGCAAUGCAUAUGAUCUAAAAUGAAUCAUAAUUACCUGUGAAUGUUUAGUUUCCUUUUUUCUUUCACUAAUGGCUAUUGCUUACCCUCGUGUAAGCCGUUUGUGUAUGUUUCCGCUGUGCUUUUCUCUAUUGAUGAAAAUGUACAUGUGAUGAGCCUUGGCGGAUAGGGGAAACUCUGUCCCGUUCGCGUCUGUUUGACGUGCUCGGGUCGGGCCAAAUUGGCAUCGGUCCCGGGGCAUGACAGAUAAGUUGGUAUCAGAGCCAAUAGUGAAAGAAUAGGAAUGGACCUAGAGACCCUUAGGAUUGGAAGGCCUUAAGGAUCUAGGAAACGUGAGUGACGUGGAAUCAAAGUUAGCGAAAGCAUGUGAUUGGGUUAAGUUGGGAUGUCUUUAAUGUGAUUAGAGGCUAAGUUUAAUUUUCGUUUAUCCUUUACUUCUAGUGUUGUGCCGGGCGGCCGACGACAUGACGCUUGAGGCAAGGAUGAAUGUGCAUGUUGCUUUCGCCUAAUUGGGUAUGGUCAAGUAAUGUUGGUCAAGUGACUAAUGCGAGUUGCUUCUUUUCAGGAAGCAAUGGCACCUCGACGUCGAUCGCAAAUAAGGUCGAUGCCGGAGGAAGCAAAUGCGAUGCCCGAGCAAUCCGGAGCGAGUGGCGACGGAGAGCUUAGGGAACAAAUGGCCGCGCUCGUCGGAGUAGUGCGGCAACAAGCGGAGUCUGUUCAGCGCCAAGGGGAACAGAUUUAGCGGCUCCAGGAGACCUUGGAGCGCCAGUAGGCGGCGGCGGCCCAGGCGGGCGUCGAGCAUGUCGCGCCCCCUGCGGUAGUGCCGAGCGUGGACGUGGGAGCGGCGGCAGCGGCGGCUGUUCCAGUUACGGUAGUACCGGCCGGGUCGGGAACCUCGAAUCCCGAUAGCGCGGCAGUCGAUGCGGAGCGAGAGCGCACUCUGGCGGCUCUCAUUCAGUUCAAGAAGUUCGACCCACCUACCUUCGAAGGCGGUUUGGUGGAGCCAGCGGUUGUGGAGUCGUGGAUCGACUCGAUGGAGACCCUCUUCGAGGAUUUGAAUACCUUGGAGAAGGAUAAAGUGUACCUCGCCACCCAUUGUCUAGGGAAGGCGGCGACGGUGUGGUGGAAGCGAGUUAAGCGGGAUCGACCUGCCGAUCUCCCGCUCAUGCUUUGGGAAGAGUUCAAGAGAUCAGUGUUCGCGAACUACUUCCCCGACACGGUGAAGCGGAGGUUACAAGAAAAGUUCCGCAAGUUGAGACAGGGCGAUCGUUCGGUGGGAGAGUAUGAGCAAGAAUUUUCCCACAUUAUUGACUGCGUUCCCGAUGUUGUUCGCGAUGAUCGGGACCGGGCGGAUUGGUUCUUGCGAGGACUCCAACCCCGGAUUUAUGAAAAAGUGCAGAUCUUGAAGCUGUCGACCUUUGCGGAGGUCUUCGAUAGAGCUUUGUGGGCGGAGCACGGUAGCGCCCAUGUGCGUGAAGAACGAGAAGCUAUUGCCGAGUCCAAGGACAAGGGCAAGAAGAGGACGGCGGGUGGUGCCGGGGGCCGGCCAAAUGCUAAGAAACCCCCUCGGUAUCCCCGACAGCAGUCGAGGAAUUGGAGACCAUAUCGAUGCGUUAUAUGUGGCGGAAAGCACAAGGUGUCGACUUGCCCGCAGCGAGACGGCAAAUGCUUCAAAUGUGGCCAACCGGGACAUCUUAUCCGGGAGUGCCCGUCGUGGACGUCGUCUGCGCCAACGGCAGCAUCAACACCGUCUACCCCGAGACAGCUUGCGGGUUACCACCGGCGAUGUCGGCUGGACGCGCGUCAGCACCGCGUCAGCCGGAGGGAUCGAGAGCGCCUAGCGGUCGAGUCUUUGCCGCUCAGGUGGAGGAGCAACAACCUGCAGCACCCGACGACGUCGUGGCAGGUAUAAUUGUGAUUAAAGGCACUAGAGCUAGAGCCGUGUUUGACACAGGCGCAUCUCAUUCAUUCAUUAGCACUUCAUUUGCUAAGACUCAUGGCAUAGAGAUGGUGUACAAUGAGGACUACUGGUGGGUGAAUGCCCCAGAACAUUCAUUCAGUGUCCACAACGAGUGUUUGGCGUGUCCAGUGCAAAUAGGCGAUUGGAUUAUGCCGGUUGAUCUGCUAGUGCUAGAUUAGAUGUGGGAAUUUGAUGUUAUCUUGGGGACCAACUGGCUCUCACAAAUACGAUGCAGUGAGAAUUGUGAAAGCAAGGUAUCACUUUUCGUCGAACCUAAUCAACGAAGAUUUAGUCUACCAAGCGUGGCAAAAGUAGGACCUUCAGGGGCACUAUAUCGCUUAAGGGGAAGAAAAAUCAAGAGGAGUGUAAGGCUAUUUGCACCAUGUGGAUUCUGAAAGAGUACCACUUGGGAGAUAUUGAUAUGUUGCGAGUACUCUAUAUUUCCGGGAUCACCCAUGGACUUUGCACCGAAUCGGUGAUGAGUUUGUCAUUGACUUAAUUCCGGCGGAACUACAGUUUCGACUCGCUCUGUACGAAUGCAGCCAGUGGAGUUAAAGAGAGCUAACGAAGGUCAAUUACAGACUCCUAUCAUAAAAGGCUCUGUGAGACCGACGUGUGUCACUGGGGACUCGGCUGAGCUAUUGAAAAAAAGUACGGUACAUGGCCUUCCGACUCUCGUAGAUUUGAGAAUUGAAACAAUAGUAACGAUAACAAGAACAAGUACCUCACUUGCAGGAGAUAUGAUGAUCCUAAUUCGAUCAGUUGCAAAGGUCCAAGGUGUAUUAAGAUCAUCUCCAAUCGGGAUAUCAAUCAAUAAAAAUCAGGCCAAGAGGAUUGCACCAACGCAUACGGCGACCCGUCCGCGUAUAUGGCAUAUGAUUCACUUAUAUUCCGAGUUUGGGCUUACUAAUGCGACCAGCAGGCAUUUAUAGACUUUAUGAAUCAGUCUUUAGGGCCAGUUGUUGGAUGCGAGGUGCGUCGUGUGUUUUAUAGACGACGUAUGGCUACCUUCGACCAAGCGACAGAGUAGCAUGAAAGAGCAUCUGAGAGCUGUGUUCCAAAUAUCAAGACAAAGAAGACUCUAUCAAAAUUGAAGAUAAUGUGACUUUUGGCUAAAGGAGGUCCAUCAGUUCUUUGGUUCUGGGUAUUCUGGCGGACGGAGUUUCGGUAGACCGAAGAAAGUGAAACGAUGAACAUGAUUGGCCUCGCCCAACCGAUUAUCGGAGAUCCGCAGUUUUAUCUUGGACUAGCGGGCUACUACCACUUCAUCGGUUUCGUGAGGUCGCAGCAAACAUAACCACUCCACUAAUCAGGCCACCAUAAGGAUAAAUACGUGUGAUGCCGAGCGAUUGCGAUCGAAGACUUCGGAUUAAAGAACAUUGACGUCGCCCCUGUGUUUGCCUGCCGACUCGGGAGAUCUUUUGUAGUGUACAUGAUCUUCUAGUUGUCUCGGUUUGCUGUAUUAAUGCAAAUGGCGUCUACUUGCAUAUGCCUCGCUGCCAUUAAAGAUUACGACGAAGAACUUAUACCCGAUUCACACUACUCUUGAGUUGCCGCCCAUCGGUUGAAAUUCGAUUCCGCGCCUAAAAAAUGUAACAUAUAUGGUAGCAAUUGGUAGGUAUAUAGCUCCGCGAUCACUAAGAUCUCAGGAGUGACUACAAAAGAUUUAAAUAUGGGCUACAUUACGACGUGGUAUAAGUUCGUAAACGUGACUAUGAUUCACUAUAUAUACCACCUGAUACCACCCAUCGAAAACCAAUGUCUGCCAAGGCCUAAGUAGAAGAAUUCGCGGCAGAACCUAGCGACGGCAAUGACCCCAGCCGCUAUUACAAAAGCGAAUGCAACAUUCAGGAGUGAAGUGGUACUCCCGGAGUGCCGCUACCCUGCCACAUUGGUUGCAACCGACCCUAUUUGAAAAUAUCAAGAUUACAAGCUUCGACCAUUAUCUCCAAAAGUCUCGGGUGAUUUGAACAUGGAUAUGCGAAGACAUCUUGUCGUUGAGUUUUGGCGCAAUUAACGAUUUCGAAAAGAAUAGUUUUGCCUAAAGAUGAUGAUUAAAGGCGAAUCAUGCACAGAACCGCAUCAACUCCCUAUAGUGAUACACUCCGUCACUAAAUAAUGUACACAGCGAUUGAAAAGCACUAUUGUGGCCGCGGAUGAAAAGAGAUAUUGGGGAGUUCGUUGCCAAUUUUAACCGUGCCACAGGCUUUAAAAGCAAGCGCCGAUUCUCGGCGGGAAAGCACAAAGUCUACCAAUACCUCAGUUGGAAAAUGACAAGAUAUGAGCAAUGUACUUUGAUACCGUUUGACCUUGAUCGUCAAUGCGACACGACCGAUAUGGUAAUAAGUGAUCGAAUUUGACAAAAGUCGCACAACUUGUCUGCCGUAUACCGACCUGACGGGUCGGGAGACAGCUAGUCGCAAGUUUUACUCGAACAGAAGUUGUGAGACUUCAUGGGUCCAUGUUGAUCGGUUCGGAUACGAAGACUACGCCCUAGGUUCACACCCAGUCUUUUUAACGAGUUUGCAAGACGGCGCUAGGCACUAGCGCUCGACUUCAGUACAGAGACGUUUCUAUCCUCAGCAGUGUAUUAGACCAUACAGACGCGAAACAAUAACAACAUCCUUGAGAUUUACACUUCGGCGUUUUGUGCUAGAUUACACAGGAGAGGCUAUGACUUCUUGCAUAUUUCGAGUUCCUACAAUAAAUACUACCAAGAAGUAUAACGCGAUGGCUCCUUUCUGAGGCACUAUAUAGUUCGACUAAGUGUCGUCCGUCUAUCCAUUUGAGCGACGGGGCCGAGAGAACGACUCUUUGGCCCUUGUGUGCGGAGGCGAAAGACGAAAGUCCGCUUGCCGUCAACGUGCGAUGCGCAAUCUCCUUGCAAAACGAUUAUGCCGACAAGAGCCAAAAAGAUUUAAGUUCGCGUUGGGUACGUGUAUUCUUAAUAUGUCUCGAUAUCGGAGGAGUUAAACGAUUCCGGGGUCCGUGGAGUCGAAGCCUCCGUUAAUGUUGCGACCGUUUGAAGAUAAUUGGAGGUGUUGGGUGCGGAUGCGUAUAACUUCGCACACACCUGAGACUGCAAGGAAGAGUCAGCAAUGUUUUCAUGUCGAAUCUUCGAGAAGUAUACAUGCCAAACUGCAACACAUGAUUGAAUAACGAGCCGUGAUACUGAAGACAUUCCCUAUGAGAGCAGCCCGGUUUCCUCGAUCGAUCCGAAUAAAAAUUAAGAAUCGCAUCCAAAUCUUAUGUAAAAGUCAAUGGACAACCACCGCGCGCGAGAACCCUGGUGACUCGAGGAGUCAAUGUCAAAGAGUACCCGCAUUGUUAAAUGACGAUAAGGUUGCGUAAUUUCGACGACGAUAAUAUUUAAGGGGUUGGAAAAUAGUAAUCAUAUCCCGCGAAAAUUCGGUAAAAUAAAAAUGUGAACUUUAGUCAAUGACAACAGUGCGAAGACGGGAACACUGGUUCGAAAAAAUCCGAAGGUGUUAAAAUGAUCUAAAGUGAGUUGUGGAAGGUUUUCGAGAGCUAAAGGAUCAAAUUCUGCGAAACUGCAGAUUUUCAGCUCUCGGGGACCGGUCCCUGGUGGGAGAGACCGGUCCCCGAACGCGUAUGAAAUGAGACAGCCGAAAAAUCGGCUAAGUCCUGAGAAAGUAGCUCUCGGGAACCGGUCCCUACCCGAGCGACCGGUCCCCCGGAGACCGGUCCCAUCAGAGAGAGACCGGUCGCAUCACGCGCAGCGGCUCUGGCUGCGCAGGGUGGACGUUCGGGAACCGGUCCCUGCUCGGGGAGACCGGUCCCUGCCUGCGCGAACUGCCCAGUUCGGGCAGUGUAUUAAAGUGAAAGUUGAGGGGUUUUAUUGCAUUUUUGCAACCCAUUGAGCUAUGUUAGAGGGUUAAUGAGAUUUUCUCUCAUUCCCACCCUCUCAAACACUCUCUUCUCUCCCUCUCUCUCUCUAGAAGGCAAAGGAGAAGAAGAAGAAAGAAAGAAAGGAAGGAAAAGAAGGAGAGGAAAGUGAAGAAGAAGAUCAAAGAGCAAAGGAGCUUCAUCUUCUUCCUCUCUAGUGCGAGAAAAGGAAGUUUACAAGGUAAGCUUUGAACCCUAAUGUAGUAAAAUCCUAAAAUGGGUUUGAAUGACCUAGAAAUGAGUUUUAGUGAGAUGUUUAAAGAGUUUUGAAGCUUUCUUUUGCUUCUAAAGAGAUCAAAACCUAGAUUUGUUAUAGAGGUGAGCUUGGACCACCUCUCAUGGUGAAAUCCAAACUAGGAUUUUGGAAAGCCUAAGAAUGGUUCUAAUGGAUUAUAUAGAGUAUAAUGGAGCUACUUUUGCUUCCCAAUGAGAUCAAACCCUAGGUUUUGUAUAUGCAUUGGAGCUAGGGCACCCAAAUUGGGGCUUUUGCUCAUAGGGGUUUCUAAGUGCAAUUAACCCUCUAGAAACCUAAUUGGGGGUAUUUUCGACGCGUUGGUGCGCUCGGAAUAGCAUUUCGAAAAGUGUAUGUAAAGUUAUGGCCAAAUAAGCCUAAUUUGGCUUCGUUAUGCCGCAGGUAAAGAAAAAAACGUCUGAAAAUCCCGAGAAAAUCGUCGGAGCACCUAAAGAGACCUACAAGGUGGGUGGUGCUUCUCAAACGUAUUGAACUUCCCUCUAUGCCUAAUGUGUCAUUCUUUGAGCAUAUGUUCUAUAUAUUGUUGCAUGCAUUUUAGGGUAAAGUAAUGAUGAAAUGUGAUGAUUGCAUGAUUGUGAGUACAACUUGCAUAAUGAGAUGGUUGAGAACCUGAUAAUGUAAAAACCCUAUGUGUAUGCAUGAGAGAAAAGUGAGCACCCAAAGUGAGCAAAAGAACCGAGUGGCACAAUGACAUAGAUCGAGUGGCAUUCGAUAAAGCUAAUGUGAAAUGACACUAGAGUUAGUGUGAUGUAAAGAACUAAAGUGAUGUAAAGAAUGAAGAAAGUGACAACGUGUAAGGUCAAAGUAAAAUGGGGCAAUAAGAACAAGAAUUGUAACGAACAAGAAUGCUAGAGUUAGCAAGAGAAAUGAAAAUGUAAAGAAUGUGAUUGCAUGAGUUUGCAACAUAAAGUGAUGUAAAGAACACUAGAGCUAGUGUAAAGUCAAGAUUGAACUUAUAAAUCUUUUGAGUUAAGGAUAUGAUCAUACUUGCUAUGAGUUCUGUGCUCGAGGGCGGUCGCUUCCCCUCGGGCGAUGCGCUCCGGAGUUAUACAUCCGGGUUGGAGUAAACCCGUAAGGACGGUCCUAGCUGGUGAGUUCCUGCGAUGAUGGACUUAAUGUGAAGCAAGUUAAUGUGGCGAAACCCCCGGGUUAGCCUUAAUGAUUAAAGAGCAAAGAGUAAAGAACAAAGAGCCAAGAACAAAGUGUAAAGUGCAAAGAACUAAAGAACAUGCAUAACCUGCAUUUAUGUAAUGUUGAGCAUAAUUCUUGCUAUUUGUUCAGGCAUAUUAGCAUUAUGUAUAGUUUGGUUACUAUUUACAGCCUAUUUCUUCUAUUAUGCCUGAGUUAGUCCUAGUGGGAAAGUCGGUGAUGUUGAGGCCGAAC